This 776-nucleotide ribosomal RNA is filed under the name uncultured Neocallimastigales. Its description in RNAcentral is "partial large subunit ribosomal RNA". It matches the Rfam family "Eukaryotic large subunit ribosomal RNA", at positions 26 to 644 of the family's 3401-position model. Lineage: Eukaryota; Fungi; Neocallimastigomycota; Neocallimastigomycetes; Neocallimastigales. The record is from RNAcentral.
CGCAUCUGUGCAUGCAGCAUAUCAAUAAGCGGAGGAAAAGAAACUAACAAGGAUUCCCCUAGUAACGGCGAGUGAAGGCGGGAAGAGCUCAAAUUUGAAAUCUUAAAGGGUUUCCCUUUACGAAUUGUAGUUUAAAGAAGUGUCUUCUGUUGAGGUUUUGGUAAAAGUUCUUUGGAAUAGGACAUCAUAGAGGGUGAGAAUCCCGUAUUUGACCUUUACUUUCAACUUUGUGAUACACUUUCAAAGAGUCGGAUUGUUUGGGAAUGCAGUCCAAAGUGGGUGGUAAAUUUCAUCUAGAGCUAAAUAUUGGCGAGAGACCGAUAGCGAACAAGUACCGUGAGGGAAAGAUGAAAAGAACUUUGAAAAGAGAGUUAAACAGUACGUGAAAUUGUCAAAAGGGAAGCGUUUGACACCAGUGUUGUUUUUCUGAAAAUCAAUUAAAGAACUGUUUAUGCUAAGCUGUUUAGACUUUAUCAGCUAACUGUUUAGUUUUGAGCUUUUCUUUAAUGCACUUUUCAGUUAACAAGUCAACAUCAAUUUCUUUUGCUGUAAAAAAGCUUGAGGAAGGUGGCUUGAGAUUCAGUCUUAAGUGUUUAUAGCCUCUUGCCUAUGCAGUCGGAGAGAUUGAGGUCUGCAGCGUAGAUCCUUCGGGGCUAAAUGCAUUUGUGCUAAGUUAUAGCAUUUUAUAGACAACUUGUUGACUAUGAUUUGUCUUGUAGCUUACUCGCUUAUGUUAUUUUACCUACGCUUAGGAUGUUGAAUCUGUGCGAGACUAC